AUACCAGGCAGAUUAUAGGCCUUACAUAGAAACAAUUAGUCAAAAAGUCUCAUUCUUUAUAUCAUCAAAACAAUAAUGCUGGAAACAAUAAUUUGGUAUACAAGUCAAUUUAUAAAUACAAGUGCUCAGUGUCCUCAAUUUAAUCCUCGAGGACUUAUCUUAAUAAAUAAUAUUUUAACAAUUUUAAUAAAUAAAAGGGGGAACUAUCCCUGAAUGCUAAUAAUGCUCGUUUUAUUUCAAUUAUAAAAUUUGGAUGCCAAGGUUUAUGGCACCCUACAACUAGGCAUACUUCUGCCUAGGUGAAAUAGAAAGACCCACAUAUUGGCAUGAUCCUGUCCAGGUAUUUUAUAUGGGGAAGAGGGAAUGUUUGUGUUUUUUCUACAGAAUGCUACAGGAGUGUGCCAGCUGCCUGAGAGUCUGGUGAGCCAUGCUGAUCCUGGGAGCAUGAAGAUUCAAUUCAGCUCUCGUGGUUCUGGUUCCUGGAGUCAUUCCUGUGCCCUUAGAGGAAGACGGAGGAUUCCCCCUCAUCUUUUGUCAUCACAGAAAUUCUGGCAUUGCUGCAGUCAUUGUGUCCUGUCCCAUCUCGGCCUGCCCUCCGACCCUCUGUGCACUGCUGCUUGCUGGAAGCUGCUGUGGACUGGGGAACUCUGCCCUGGUUCUGCAGAUCUCAGACAUGGUUCCAUUGCCUGCUGGUUGGUCCAGAGAAGAAUGACUGAUCCUGAACUGUCCUGGGAAAGACCUAGGCAUUUUCGCUGCUAUUGUGGCAGCCAUUACUGC
This 777-nucleotide long non-coding RNA is filed under the name Rattus norvegicus (Norway rat). RNAcentral's name for it is "long non-coding RNA NONRATT022149". Lineage: Eukaryota; Metazoa; Chordata; Mammalia; Rodentia; Muridae. The record is from RNAcentral.